AGGGAUGAAGGCCUCCGGGUUGUAAACCUCUUUCAGUAGGGAAGAAGCGACUGGGUUCUCUCAGACGUGACGGUACCUGCAGAAGAAGCGCCGGCUAACUACGUGCCAGCAGCCGCGGUAAUACGUAGGGCGCAAGCGUUGUCCGGAAUUAUUGGGCGUAAAGAGCUCGUAGGCGGUUUGUCGCGUCUGGUGUGAAAACUCAAGGCUCAACCUUGAGCUUGCAUCGGGUACGGGCAGACUAGAGUGUGGUAGGGGUGACUGGAAUUCCUGGUGUAGCGGUGGAAUGCGCAGAUAUCAGGAGGAANNNNNAUGGCGAAGGCAGGUCACNNNNNNNNNUACUGACGCUGAGGAGCGAAAGCAUGGGGAGCGAACAGGAUUAGAUACCCUGGUAGUCCAUGCCGUAAACGUUGGGCACUAGGUGUGGGGCUCAUUCCACGAGUUCCGCGCCGCAGCUAACGCAUUAAGUGCCCCGCCUGGGGAGUACGGCCGCAAGGCUAAAACUCAAAGGAAUUGACGGGGGCCCGCACAAGCGGCGGAGCAUGCGGAUUAAUUCGAUGCAACGCGAAGAACCUUACCAAGGCUUGACAUACACCGGAAUCGGCCAGAGAUGGUCGCGUCUUCGGACUGGUGUACAGGUGGUGCAUGGUUGUCGUCAGCUCGUGUCGUGAGAUGUUGGGUUAAGUCCCGCAACGAGCGCAACCCUCGUCCUAUGUUGCCAGCACGUCAUGGUGGGGACUCAUAGGAGACUGCCGGGGUCAACUCGGAGGAAGGCGGNGACGACG
This 782-nucleotide ribosomal RNA is filed under the name uncultured bacterium. RNAcentral describes it as "bacterial SSU rRNA". It matches the Rfam family "Bacterial small subunit ribosomal RNA", at positions 404 to 1184 of the family's 1533-position model. The record is from RNAcentral.